UCACAGUGCAUUCGCUCAGCCGGUCCUG
RNAcentral lists this small RNA (28 nucleotides) under Bombyx mori (domestic silkworm). Its description in RNAcentral is "ovarian small RNA-25027". Lineage: Eukaryota; Metazoa; Arthropoda; Insecta; Lepidoptera; Bombycidae. The record is from RNAcentral.